CAAUAGCGUAUAUUAAAGUUGUUGCGGUUAAAAAGCUCGUAGUUGGAUUUCUGCCGAGGACGUCCGGUCCGCCCUCUGGGUGAGUACAUGGCACGGCCUGGGCAUCUUCUUGGGGAACGUAUCUGCACUUGACUGUGUGGUGCGGUAUCCAGGACUUUUACUUUGAGGAAAUUAGAGUGUUUCAGGCAGGCUCGCGCCGGGAUACAUUAGCAUGGAAUAAUGGAAUAGGACUUUCGCCUCUUCUGUUGGUCUGAGGGGUGGAUCGUAAUGAUUAAUAGGGAUAGUUGGGGGCAUUAGUACUUAACUGUCAGAGGUGAAAUUCUCGGAUUUGUUAAAGACUAACUUAUGCGAAAGCAUUUGCCAAGGAUGUUUUCAUUAAUCAAGAACGAAAGUUAGGGGAUCAAAGAUGAUCAGAUACCAU
RNAcentral lists this ribosomal RNA (421 nucleotides) under uncultured eukaryote. RNAcentral's name for it is "bacterial SSU rRNA". It matches the Rfam family "Eukaryotic small subunit ribosomal RNA", at positions 592 to 1018 of the family's 1831-position model. The record is from RNAcentral.